This 464-nucleotide ribosomal RNA is filed under the name uncultured bacterium. RNAcentral describes it as "partial 16S ribosomal RNA". It matches the Rfam family "Bacterial small subunit ribosomal RNA", at positions 28 to 507 of the family's 1533-position model. The record is from RNAcentral.
GACGAACGCUGGCGGCGUGCUUAACACAUGCAAGUCGAACGGAAAGGCCCAGCUUGCUGGGUGCUCGAGUGGCGAACGGGUGAGUAACACGUGGGGGAUCUGCCUCUAACUUCGGGAUAAGCUUGGGAAACUGGGUCUAAUACCGGAUAGGACAAUCGUUUCGUUUCGGUUGGGGAAAGUUUGUUCGGUUAGGGAUGAGCGCGCGGCCUAUCAGCUUGUUGGUGGGGUAAUGGCCUUCCAAGGCUUCGACGGGUAGCCGGCCUGAGAGGGUGGACGGCCAAGCUGGGACUGAGAUAAGGCCCAGACUCGUACGGGAGGCAACAGUGGGGAAUAUUGUACAAUGGGCGGAAGCCUGAUGCAGCGCCGCCGCGUGGGGGAUGACGGCCUUCGGGUUGUAAACCUCUUUCGACAGGGACGAAGCUUUGGUGACGGUACCUGUAUAAGAAGCACCGGCUAACUACGUG